Molecule: ribosomal RNA, 305 nt
Filed under: uncultured bacterium
Lineage: Bacteria
Description: bacterial SSU rRNA
Rfam family: Bacterial small subunit ribosomal RNA
Source: RNAcentral
CCGCCUACGGGGGGCAGCAGUGAGGAAUAUUGGUCAAUGGGCUUACGCCUGAACCAGCCAAGUCGCGUGAGGGAAGACUGCCCUAUGGGUUGUAAACCUCUUUUGUCAGGGAGCAACGCCGGCUACGUGUAGCCGGACUGAGAGUACCUGAAGAAAAAGCAUCGGCUAACUCCGUGCCAGCAGCCGCGGUAAUACGGAGGAUGCGAGCGUUAUCCGGAUUUAUUGGGUUUAAAGGGCGUGUAGCCGGGCUUACAAGUCAGAUGUGAAAUCCGGGGGCUCAACCCCCGAACUGCAUUUGAAACUGU